Molecule: ribosomal RNA, 258 nt
Filed under: uncultured bacterium
Lineage: Bacteria
Description: partial 16S ribosomal RNA
Rfam family: Bacterial small subunit ribosomal RNA
Source: RNAcentral
UACGAAGGGGGGCUAGCGUUGUUCGGAAUUACUGGGCGUAAAGGGCGCGUAGGCGGCCCCGUUCAGUCAGAUGUGAAAGCCCCCGGGCUCAACCUGGGAACUGCAUUUGAUACUGGCGGGCUUGAGUUCCGGAGAGGAUGGUGGAAUUCCGAGUGUAGAGGUGAAAUUCGUAGAUAUUCGGGAAGAACACCAGUGGCGAAGGCGACUGACUGGACAUGUAUUGACGCUGAGGUGCGAAAGCGUGGGGGAGCAAACAGG